Molecule: long non-coding RNA, 4225 nt
Organism: Oreochromis niloticus (Nile tilapia)
Lineage: Eukaryota; Metazoa; Chordata; Actinopteri; Cichliformes; Cichlidae
Exons: 9
Source: RefSeq, a predicted model, not a curated record
GCGCACGUGCGCAGCUUAGAGGGAACGUUGAUGAGGAGCACUACCAAAAGUCUGACCUGCAUAGGCGCAUCUGCUCAGUGUCCUCCUCAGUCAUGCCGAUUACAUAAUUGUUGCUGAGGAGGACUAAUGAGGGAACAUAGCUGUCUGUUAGUUUUUAGUGUGGACACAAAACGGCCAACAAAAAGCCAAGUUUAAAACCAGCCCACCGAGACUUUAAAGCGACAGCCAGAGUGAUUCCGUAGAAACAUGCACUGAACAGGCGGAAAUGGAGGCUAUGCUACAAACCUGACUGCUCAUCACUGCCUUCGUUACCUGUUGAAGUUCAUGGUCUGAGUGCUGGGCUGAGGUCAGUAAUCACGGAGCUUUAAUAUCAUUCUGGAUUUUAGGUUACUUUUGAGUCAGCGUUCCGUCUGUGCAAAGUUGUGUUGACAGUGUAAGGGUGACACCAUCCUGAACACAGGAACUAAAAUCAGCACAUUGUAGGAUGCAUCCCAUCCCUCAGAUAAGUGAAGAAACUUACAACGGAAGUAAUUUCAUACUUCCAGAGAUGGGAGGUAACGAAGUAGAUUUUUCAGGGAGAGAAAGAAAAAGAGCUAACUUCAAUCAGAGUUGGAGAAAGAUAAGAAAGACUGGAGAGGAAGAGAAGGGUUGUAUUUAAUGCAUCUGUCCAUCUGUCUGUGGCAGGGGGAGUUGGAGCCUAUUAACCACCAAUUUAGGGCGUACCCAUGAUAACCUCUGCACACAGGUCUUGCCCAUUGAAAUCGAUCGUCAUCUCCCAGGUGCUUUUCUGAAAAAUGACAGAUUAAAGUGAUCAGCAGAUAAAAGGCCUGGAGGUGAUUUGAGGUUUGGUGCUUGCAUUUGGAAGAUUUAGCUGUGAACAGACAACAUGCAGUCAAAGAAGCUCUCCGUGCAGGUAAAACAAGUUAUCCCUAAGCUACAAAAACAGAAAAAAUCCAUCUGAGAAAUUGCUACAGUAUUAUGAGUGGCAAAAUCUAUAGUAUGUUACAUGCUGAGAAAGAAAGAAAGCAGUGUUGAACUCAACAACGCAAAAAGACCUGGACGUCCACGGAAGACCACAGUGGUGGAUGAUCGCAGAAUCAUUUCCAUGGUGAAGAGAAACCCCUUCAUAACAACUAACCAAGUGAACAACACUCUACAGGAGAUGGCGCUGUGCUCCACUUGCCCUAAUGACCCUUCACCUCCCCUCUUGUGUACGGUGAACAUGAAUCACAGUUUUUGACAGAUCUCAAAACUGCCCCUGUGCAGGGAGACGAUUUCUCAUCAGGCACUAGCAGCCGGAGCACCAAGCUCAUUCACGGAGGAGUCCGAUAUCUACAGAAAGCCAUCAUGAAAUUGGAUUACAAACAGCAUUUUGUCCAGCCGCAGAGUUCCUCUCACUCCACUGAGUUUUGUACCUCCAGGAGGCUGGAACGACUGGUGGUGUGAGCCGAGCGGAGUGCCAAUCUGUGACAGGCCCCACAACAGAGAGCUGUGAAUCACGGGUUCAAAGGUCACUACAAGGCUCAGCAAUCAUCGAGGAUCAGACGCUGCCUACCGGUGCCAAGCCUCUCUCAAGUCUUAGCCGCUUGUGUGUGUGUAUGCGUGUGCAUGCGUGUGCUCAUACACCACCGGUGGCAUAAGUUUGCUAACCACAUACUAUAAUGGUCACAUUCACCCUACAGAGAUGAAGAAGUGGAUUCUAUGGUCUUCCUAAUACAUCAUGGCAGGGUGCAUACUCUUGUAUGUAAUUCAUUCUAAAAUGUGGCCUUUAAAUCUGUUGUUGUUGGGUCUUUUUUUUUCUUUCUUUUUUUUUACUUUUCCCCUUCAUUUUAUUUAUUUAUUUUCUGUAGUGAGGGAAUGGCUUCCAGCAUGCUGUAGCAUUAAGCAGAGCCCACCAGCUAGCUAGCCUCAAGUCACUCAAACGUAAAAUAAAUCAGGGCACAAAGGACCCUGCUCAUUCCUGCAAAGUAGCAACAUUUUCCCUGGCCAACAAUGAGGACUUGAACUUCCUUGGCAAUAACAAAUAGAAAGAAAGUCACCCGAGACACCAACAUUAAAAGUGAUUAAUCAUCUCUAUUCUCUCUUUACUUUUGAACCAAGGGAUUGUCCAGCAAUAAAUCUUCAAAGAUGUACAUAAGAAUCACUUCCUAAUGAAACUGGGCUUUGUUCAUUUGUCACCUUUUAGACCCUUUCAUUUAAAUUACAAAACUUGUGACCUUGUGACUCUGAAUAUAGAUCUCUGGUAUUUUAGAGCUGAAGAGGGAUUAAUCCAUAAAUCUUGAUACUUGAUUUCUCUCUUCAUUAAAAGGAUUCUGCCAAGGGAUCUUCUUCUAGAAAGGAAGAUCAGCCGCUGUCAAGAUUUGUUUACCGUCAUAUUGACAUAUUGAAAAAUGUGAUUAUUAGGAGGAGACGUGACCGCUUUCACUGAUCACUGCUCUCUUUUAAAAUGAAGCCUGCUGAAGUUGUGCACACAAAACUGUUAAAGUAAUCUUAAUGAAAUGUUCAAAUGACAGGAAUAACUAUUAUGUACUACACAAGAGGCACACUCUCAAACAACCAUUUUUUUUUAGCUCCUCAGCACUCUUUGUAUAUUCAAGGCAUCAGUGCAUCUAUUCCUUGCAUUCCCUUCCUUUUCCCGAGGAGUGCUUACCCUUCCCAGUGUAGGAGAAGAGAGGGGAGGGGCUGCCGGGGCCCCACACUCAGGCCAAAGGGCCACUGUGGCUUUAAGUGUGCUCCUUGUGUGGCCAGAGCAGCCAUCGCACUGAUGCAAAGUGACAGGGACAGAUGUGACAUAUCGGUUCCGACACACUUCCAUACCACCAGUCACAGGCUUGGGGUGACUCACAUCCCCCUGCUCUGGUCCUGUCCCCCCGCUGCAGGACAACACAACGAUGCUCGAAUGAACCUCGCCAUCGCCCUCACUGCUGCCAGGUAUGGGGCUGCCAUAGCCAAUUACACUGAAGUGGUGCACCUACUGGAGAGGGCAGACCCUCAGACGGGGAAGGAGAGGGUCUGCGGAGCGCACUGCAGGGAUGUGAUCACAGGUAAAUCCAACAAAAGCCGCUUCCUUCCUUCCUGCCUCACUCUAUUCCCACUCUCUCUAGCCCUCACAACAGGGUUCCUCCCAGCGCCUCUUACUCAGUGCUAGUUUGCACAUAGUCAUUGCACAUCUAAUGCAGGGGCUUUUAAUAUUUUAUAAGCGUUUUAUGGUGUAGAGGACUGCUUCAGAUCUUGUAGGGAGGAACAUAAGACAGAAUUAGCGUACUCCAAAUGGCCUUACUUACCUUUUAAAUGUCAUGCAUAGGGCUGGCUUUGGAAGAAUAAAGCAGUUAAGGGUAAAAGAUGGUAUUCUGAAACAUUUCAUGAAUAACCAAGAUUUGAGGAUCUCAACACAUGACCACCCCCUGAUGUUUUAAAAGAUGGAAGUGUGCUCUUGGAGGAGAUGUCUCACUUUAAUAAUGUGAGAGGAGGGCCUCACAUAGGGAGGGCUCAGACUGAAAGGAUAAUAAAAACAGUUUUGUCAUCAGUUCUUUUUUCUUUGUCUUUUAUUUUUUCUUCUUUUUUUUCUCGCUCACUGAGAUAUGAAUUUCUGGCUUAUGAACGCAGUCAUUCCUGUUCUUUUCUUCGCUUCUCUUAGCAGUGGCAGCAUCACGCAUCAGAUUUUUAAAGGUAGUUUGUCAUUCAGCUUGUUGCCAAAACAGACCAUUUGCUAUCCUCAUGGUAUCUUUUGAUAUGCAUCCCAUUAUAUACUGUAGCUCGUCAACAUCAAGCAUCACAUUAACAAACAUUUCCCUUCCACAAUUUCAAAAGACCCUCAGUCACUGCCACUGAGCUACUCUGUGACACAAAGAGGCAAGAGGGAAAUUAGGUAUGUCUGUUUCCUAUUAAUUACAAUCCUGGGAAGUCUCCCAUGGACACACUCGAGCCACUCUAUUACGGAGAGAGGGGGGCGUUCGCUGAUAAAUUAAUAAUCCGGCUUGUCACCAGCCACAGAUGAAUAGCCCCUGGUGAUUGAUGCUGUUUUCUUUCAUAGGGCAGGAAUUUGAUGUCAGAGCCAAAUGUGUUAUCAAUGCCACGGGACCUUUUACGGACGCGCUGUGGAAAAUGGAUGAUCAGAAGAACCCCGACAUCUGUCAGCCCAGUGCCGGGGUGCACAUCGUCAUCCCGGCUAUUACAGGUAACUAACGGUGGACCCCUACGUCUCUGUCACUAUCCUCCUGUAUCA